GAUGAACGCUGGCGGCGUGCCUAAUACAUGCAAGUCGAGCGAACAGACGAGGAUUGCUCCCCGCUGACGCUAGCGGCGGACGGGUGAGUAACACGAGUAUAACCUACCUAGAAGACUGGGAUAACGUCAGGAAAGCUGAUCUAAUACCGGAUAAUAUAUUGAACCGCAGGGUUCAUUAGUGAAAGCCCGUUUAGCUGUCCCUAAGACAUGGAACCUCGCCGCAGUAGCUAGUUGGUAGGGUAACGGCCUACCAAGGCGACGAUGCGUAGCCGACCUGAGAGGGUGAUCGGUCACACUGGAACUGAGACACGGUCCAGACUCCUACGGGAGGCAGCAGUGGGGAAUAUUCCGCAAUGGGCGAAAGCCUGACACAGCCACGCCGCGUGAGUGAUGAAGGUCUUCGGAUCGUAAAGCUCUGUUAUUAGGGAGGAACAGAAGUAAGAGUAUACCUGGACGUUUUGACGGUACCUACUCAAAAAGCACCGGCUAACUACGUG
RNAcentral lists this ribosomal RNA (497 nucleotides) under uncultured bacterium. RNAcentral's name for it is "partial 16S ribosomal RNA". It matches the Rfam family "Bacterial small subunit ribosomal RNA", at positions 28 to 507 of the family's 1533-position model. The record is from RNAcentral.